CUGUACGACAAAUUAUUGAUUAACUUUUCCCAACACAAUUGCCUUUUUCAAAUAUUGUGGGGUGUCACCAAUGGCAAUGUAAUCAACCUUUUUAAUGAAAUUAGGUAAUGACAGAAUUUCGACUUAAUGUAAUAUCAUAUUUUUGUGUAUAUAUGUAUAUACUGGAUAUAUUUCUUAAUAAUCAAAUUGUACGUAUUACUACUGUAUAUGUAUAUUUUUUACGGAUGAAGAGCCACUUGUUGGAAACGCAUAAUUAAAUAGUAUUAUUAAAAUGAUAAUUCUAUGAUUAAAAUUUAAAAGAAUUAACAUUUUCAUUAUUUUUUUCCCAUAAUUUUGCACCAAACUUUAUUCCAGAACGUUACCAUGGCUGCCAAUAACCGGGAACAAUACUUUGAUUAGCGGUUGGCUAAAUAAAAAUACAGGUUAUAGAAUCAUGUCUCGUUGUUUAUGGUUUCAACAAAAUAAACAAAUGUCAUUCAUAUUACCUAAACAUGAAAAUAAUUUUGUUUUCAACCGAAUCAUUUGUCAAAGUUGAACUUCUUCUGGAAAUUUGUGAUAACCAAUUCCAUCAUGAAUUGAGACCGUCAUGGCUUCUCCCACUUUGUCUUCAUCGUUCAAAAGUUGAAUAAAACCUUCUGCCACGGUGUCGGCACU
This is a non-coding RNA of Paramuricea clavata, 654 nucleotides long. The record is from the annotation of a GenBank genome assembly. Lineage: Eukaryota; Metazoa; Cnidaria; Anthozoa; Malacalcyonacea; Plexauridae.